GCUGGAUUAGUGUAGCGGCAAGCACGAUGGACUUUCAAUUCAUCAACCUGGGUUCGAAUCCCAGAUCCAGCACCA
Molecule: transfer RNA, 75 nt
Filed under: Promethearchaeota archaeon
Lineage: Archaea; Promethearchaeati; Promethearchaeota
Also listed under: 1 other name
Description: Candidatus Lokiarchaeota archaeon (marine sediment metagenome) tRNA-Glu
Rfam family: tRNA
About the family: Transfer RNA (tRNA) molecules are approximately 80 nucleotides in length.
Source: RNAcentral